AUUUUUUUGAAAUGUUGAAAAAAUAUGCCUAAAUUUUUUUACCAUGUAAAAGUAACCGGGGUGGAUGUACUUGCGUUUGCUGAAUGCCAUACGCUAAAUUUUUUUACCAUGUAAAAUUGGUGAAACAAUACUGUAAAUUUUUUUACCAUGUAAAAUUUGCUGGUGUGGACUUAGAGAAAUUUUAUACUGUAAAUUUUUUUACCUUGUACAUUUUGUUCUACAGGGUGUGGGGUGGACUUGACUUCUUUUUUUUUUUUUUUUGAUGAACUUCAGGGCUAGUUUCUAGUGUGUUAGCCAAGGACCAUAUUUUUGUGUUACACUUUCAGCUU
Molecule: unclassified non-coding RNA, 329 nt
Filed under: Puccinia novopanici
Lineage: Eukaryota; Fungi; Basidiomycota; Pucciniomycetes; Pucciniales; Pucciniaceae
Source: RNAcentral